RNAcentral lists this ribosomal RNA (393 nucleotides) under uncultured Scuticociliatia. RNAcentral's name for it is "partial small subunit ribosomal RNA". It matches the Rfam family "Eukaryotic small subunit ribosomal RNA", at positions 30 to 432 of the family's 1831-position model. Lineage: Eukaryota; Ciliophora; Oligohymenophorea. The record is from RNAcentral.
GCUUGUCUCAAAGAUUAAGCCAUGCAUGUCUAAGUACAAGCCGCUAGUUCGGCGAAACCGCGAAUGGCUCAAUAAAUCAGUUAUGGUUCCUUAGAUCCACUCCAUCCUACUUGGAUAACUGUGGUAAUUCUAGAGCUAAUACAUGCUAUCAAGCCCGACUUCUUGAAGGGUUGUAUUUAUUAGACUUAAGCCAAUAUUCCUUGUGUCUAUUGCGAUGAUUCAUAAUAACUGAUCGAAUCUCAAAUUUGAGAUAAAUCAUUCAAGUUUCUGCCCUAUCAGCUUUCGAUGGUAGUGUAUUGGACUACCAUGGCAGUAACGGGUAACGAAGAAUUAGGGUUCGAUUUCGGAGAGGGAGCAUGAGAAACGGCUACCACAUCUAAGGAAGGCAGCAGG